GGAGUUUGGUCCGUGUCUCAGUACCAAUGUGGGGGACCUUCCUCUCAGAACCCCUACUGAUCGUCGCCUCGGUGGGCCGUUACCCCGCCGACAAGCUAAUCAGACGCAUCCCCAUCCCACAGCGAUAAAUCUUUACUCCUCAUUAGAUGCCCGCAAAGGAGAACAUAGGGCAUUAAUCCGACUUUCGCCGGGCUAUCCCCUACUAGGGGAAGGUUGGAUACGCGUUACUCACCCGUGCGCCGGUCGCCAUCGGCCUUAGCAAGCUAAGACCAUGCUGCCCCUCGACUUGCAUGUGUUAAGCCUGUAGCUAGCGUUCAUC
Molecule: ribosomal RNA, 319 nt
Filed under: uncultured Prevotella sp.
Lineage: Bacteria; Pseudomonadati; Bacteroidota; Bacteroidia; Bacteroidales; Prevotellaceae
Description: partial 16S ribosomal RNA
Source: RNAcentral